This 302-nucleotide ribosomal RNA is filed under the name uncultured bacterium. RNAcentral's name for it is "partial 16S ribosomal RNA". It matches the Rfam family "Bacterial small subunit ribosomal RNA", at positions 508 to 807 of the family's 1533-position model. The record is from RNAcentral.
GCAGUCGCCGCGGGAAUACGAAGGGUGCAAGCGUUACUCGGAAUUACUGGGCGUAAAGCGUGCGUAGGUGGUUGUUUAAGUCUGCUGUGAAAGCCCUGGGCUCAACCUGGGAAUUGCAGUGGAUACUGGGCGACUAGAGUAAGGUAGAGGAUAGUGGAAUUUCCGGUGUAGCAGUGAAAUGCGUAGAGAUCGGAAGGAACAUCUGUGGCGAAGGCGACUAUCUGGGCCAUUACUGACACUGAGGCACGAAAGCGUGGGGAGCAAACAGGAUUAGAUACCCCGGUAGUCCCUGUCUCUUAUAC